Molecule: long non-coding RNA, 40879 nt
Filed under: Gossypium barbadense (sea-island cotton)
Lineage: Eukaryota; Viridiplantae; Streptophyta; Magnoliopsida; Malvales; Malvaceae
Description: long non-coding RNA (GBAR_LNC019854)
Source: RNAcentral
GAGUCCGCUUGCAAUACCAUAGUUGAUGCCAGAAAUGCCGGCGGCCGCACUUUUGAUGCAUUUGCAAGCUGCUUGCCGGUCUGGUGUUGUUUGGGCGGCGGAGUUGAGAGAUUUUAUGCCGCCGCAGCAACCUGGGGGAACGCCACCAGCACCAUUCCCUGUCAAGUAACCAAUGCAGGGUGCGAGGGAGCUUGUGACUUGACCACAGGUUACGGCCCCUUGAGCCAGGGGUGCACCCACCACCAUGCACAACACCGCCACACAUGCAAGCUUAAGGGACAUUGAGCUAGCCAUAUCGAUUAAUCACAAGAAAAACAAACUUGUAAGGAAAAUGCUUGCUUGGAGUAGUAGUACUAUUGCUGAUUGUCGUGGUUAGGGCUUGAGGGUAGGAGGGUUUUUAUAGCCAAAAGUAGUAGCGGGUGAUGUCUGAAUUUUACUUUCCUAGCUAUUAGGUAAGUUGAGAUUAUCCGAUCCAAACAUUAACACACCACAUUAAAAGUUGAGACCAUUCAAUUAGGUUCAACUGCCAACCUACGUGAUUAUUGUUUUCUUUCAAUACAAUUAAAACCAGCGUCCAUUUGAUUUCACUCAAUCAUGCCUCCACAGCUAGGACUCAAAUAUUGGUUUAACUUUUUUCUAGGUGUUUUCUUAUAAACAUGAGAUUUACAUUUGAUGUAUUUAUAAAUGCAUUUAUUGUCAGAAUGAUACCAUUUUAUUAAAAGUAAUUUGAUUUAUAAUUGUUUGUAUAUAUACUUUUAUAUAUUAAGUCUUUAAUUGAAUUGGUAUUACGAUUCACCCAAGCAUCUAUUUAAUUGAAAAUUUGUUAAAAUAUUCAUAUAACAAAUAUUAAUAUUAAUAUAAAUGUAUUUUUAUUUUUAUUAUAAAUAAAACUAUAAUAAGAUUUAAACUUAUGACUCAUAAAUUUUACUCUUUUUAACUUAACUAUUUCAACUAAAAUUUCAUUUAGUUUUAAUAUAAAUUUUUAUAAAUAUAUUAUUUACAUGAAUUUUCCUUUUCCAGGCGGUAUGCCAUGGAACUAAUAUAAAAUAUAAACAAAUGGUUAUUUUGUUAUUUUCAAUGGAAAAAAAAAACUUCACAAGAUUAGGACACAUGCAUGGUUUUUUUAAUAUAUAUAUAUAUAUAUCAUGCAACAUUCUAAAUCUAUUUAUAGAUUAUUUUGUUGAUUGAAUUUUUAUUUUUUUUUAUUUUGGUAAUUAUAUAAAACUAAAUAUUUUCUUCGCGCAAUGUUAAGAGCAGUUUGAAAUUUAAAAGAAGUGUGGAUUCUAAUAAUAAAUUUAGUUAUCUAAUGUUUACAUAUUUUAUUAAUUUGGUCUUAAAUAUAAAAAUUAAAUUCAACAAAAUUAGCCCUCAAUGUUUACAAAAUUUUUCAUUUUAAUUCAAAUUCUAAAAUAAUCCAAUAAAUUUAGCUCUCAACAUUUACAAAAUGAAAGGAUUUGAUUUUUAAAAUUUUAAUUUUUUUUUUUAAAAACCCAAAACACAAACCUAAAUAAACUGAAAAAGAAGAAGGAAUAAUUAUCAUCACCACGAUCUAAUCUCUCAACUUUAAAAUAAGACUUCAACUUCGGUUUAACCCCAAGACAAGGCGAAACAUUGAAAGUAAGUGCAGCGGAUGCCAUUGAUUCUCCUACCUUUUGGCUAAACACAUAAAUUUGAACAACUUCAUACAUAACUAGCAGCAGUACUAAAAAAUCAUUAAUACUAUAUUUUCAAGUACAAGAAAUUGAAAAAAGAAUCACGGGUAGAGUACAAAAAUGAAAUUUGGUGUGAACCUAGAUUAACAAAACAAGGUUCACGGUUUCUCAAAAACACAAUACUAAAUUUUUAGAAUUUCUUGUGAAGAUCAAGCAAUGAGACAAAUACUGAAAUUGGCAAUGCCUUAAUAGCAAAUAAUAAUUCAAACCAAUGUAGAAAAAAGAUGAAGAAGAAGAAGAUAGGAAAAGAAUUUUUAGUUUACAUUAAAAGCCUUGAAAAGGUAGACCGAUAGGAUUGAUUGUUUUGAAUAUUACUCAACUUUCUCAUUAAUUCUUGUACUAUUAUGGCUAAGUGUGUUUUUAGAUGGUAAUGAAUUUUUUUAAUUGUUAAUAAUUUUUACAAUUAUUACACUUGAUUUGGCAGUUGUUUUUCUUUUUAAUUUACAAAAUUUUAAAAAAUUAAAAAUUUCUAUUUUGUAAAUGCUAAGAGCUAAAUUUAUUAUUAUUUAUUUUAGAAUCUAAACUAAAGUGACAAAUUUUGUAAAUAUUUGGUGUUAAAUUUAUUGGAUUUUUAUAUUUAAAAUCAAAUUGAUAGAAUGUGUAAAGAAAGUUAAUUUUUUUAUUAGACAAAUAAAAAAUAACCCAUUUCAACACUUCCGAAAAAUUUUCAAACGGCCGUUAACAUUUAGUGAUGAAAAUAUUUGAUUUCAUAUAGUUUAAUAAUUAAAAUAAAAAUAAUUAAAAAUUUAGUAAUCAAAGUAAAACACAAGUGAUAUUAUUCUAGUGAUCAUUUCUGUACUUGACCCUAAUUUUUUUUUCAAAACACUGUUAAAAAACGAUUAAUUUCUCGUUUUGGCCGGAGUUAAAAUUUUUAAUAUAUUUGUUUUUAUUAAAUUUAAAAAUUAUAAUUUUACAUAAUAUAUUUUUGAUAGAAUACAUAUGAUAUAAUUUUAAUCAGUGACACCUGUUAAAGCUUGUUAGAUCUCCUGUAUCUCUUUCAAUCUGGUGGUAAAUGAAGCAAUCAAUGAGUAUUACAACCAGCCACAUGUCAUUCAAUUCACAUUAUAUCAAUCUUUUCCCUUUUCUCUCAUUUUGGUAGUUAAUUCCUUUUUUUGUCAUCGAAAUUAUAUUUUUUUCUCAAAUUGAUAAUUUCCUUAAUCCGUUAAGUUUGUUAAAAGAAACCUUAAUCUUAUUUAAAUUAUAUCUUUUUUUUUUUAUUUUGAUACUUAAACAUUUUUGUCACAUGUGGUAUGUAAUUUAUUUUUUCUUAAGUUGUUAGUUUAAUUAUUACUCAAAUAGUUAAGUCUAUUUAAAAAAAGAUAACUAUUUAAAAAUUACCAUAUUCGAACUAGCUAGGCCAUUAGUUCCUGGUUUAAUCAGUUUAUCUAGUUUGAUGAAAUCAAUUAUUAAAAAUUCAUAAAAAUAAAAAUGUUAAAAAAUAGAGAAAACUAGCUCAACUAGUUUUUUUUUUAAGCUCGACUCAAUCAAUCUGUAUCAGUUUGUAGGUUAAUCGGUUCAAGCCCUAUCUCCAAACUAGUAUCCCAGUUGGUUCCUAGUAUUAAGGGUGAGCAAAAUUUGAAUCGACUCGAAAAAAUUUAAAAAAGUUCAAAUUUUGAAUUAUUUGAAUCGAGUUAAUCGAAUCAACUCGAUUUUUUUUUAAUUUCAAGUUCGAGUCGAGUUGAGUUUUUGAAUUCAAAUGACUCGAAUAAUUCGAUUAAGCCGAAUACCAAACUAUAAUAUUUUACAUUUUACCUCAAACCCCAAACCCUUUUACUUUUCCCCCAAAACUUUACUCAUUCCUCCUUGUCUGCCCCUGUAACGCCCCAAAUUUUGAAUUGUUACUGUUAGUUUCUAUUUAUAAGUAAGUAUUUGCUUCAGUGGUUAAGUGUUAUGUGUUGGUGUUUGGAUCGGGGGUUCAAGUUACACUUUUAGAGAAUUUUAUUAUUCUUUUGUUUCAACUCUUAUCCUUGAAUGCUUGAAUUAAGUUUGUAUCUGCAUUAAUUUGUGUCAAGAAUGAGUCUUCUAGUUUAAUGGUUAAGUUUUGUAUUACCUAUGGUCUCGUGUUCGAGUCUCUGCGUAGGCAAUAAAGAAAUAUUUUGGCAUGCUAUCGGGAAAUCAGUUUUAUUUUAAUAAUUAUUUUUAUUUAAAACUUAUUUUUAGUUUUUUUUAUUUUGGUUCUUCUCCUUCCUUACUGUUCAUUUCCUUCUUCUUUUUUCUCCUUUUGUAACACCCCUAACUCGAAUCCGUCGCUGGAACAGGGUUAGGAGUAUUAUUGAAGUUUACAAUUUAAACAGGCAGAAAAAUUAAACAUUUCAUAACAUAUAGCAUUCAUGUUAGAAACCAAUCAUAAUUAUGCAUAUUGUCCCUAAUACGAGCCCUCGAGGCCCAAAAUACACCUUAGAAAUAAUUCGGGACUAAAUUGAAAAUUCGGAGCAUUUUUUAGAAACUUAUAAAAUUUUUAAAACUACAGGGGUCACAUGGCCGUGUGGCUAGGUUGUGUGACUCAUAUGGCCAACAGACACGCCCAUGUCUUAGACCGUGCGGGUAUUCGAAAUAGGGACACACGGUCGUGUCCCAGCCAGUGUCCAUGCCCGUGUAACUCACUAACUUGGGCCACACGGUCAAGCCAUACGCCCGUGUGCCAGGCAUUGUGAGCAUACUAACUUGCAUUCUUUAAAAGAUACAGGGGACACACGGCCAUGUCACCUGACCGUGUGUGACACACGCCCGUGUCUCUGCCCGUGUGGACAAAAAUAGGCUAUUUUUCAAGUCAUAAAUAUUCAUGUAUUCUUUAAAAGAUACAGGGGACACACGCCCGUGUCUCUGCCCGUGUCUCUGCCCAAUUUGGUACCAACCUAAACACAACAAUUUGCAUAUAACCAAGUCAUAAAUAGGCAUCCAAAACCAGCCAAAAUCAAGCUUAAAACAUGUAAUAUCAUCACAUACAACCAAUAUGCCCUUAGGCACCUCAAAUGACAACUUAUAAUAUUAAUAUUCAUGUAUUCAAUAUAGCCAAAUGUAUAACUCACUUAUAUGCAUAUUUUCAUCCAAAGUUUAUUAAGCAAAUUUACAUCAUUUCUUACCAAAUUACUUACCUUCCAAAACAUAUUAUUUGGUGCUAAAAUGUAUUUAACAUACUAACAUAUUUAACUUAUAUGCCUUACAUAUCCAGACACCAAUUCAUGAUCAAUUCUUCACAUUCCAAAACACAUAUAUGAAAUGCACAUUAGGUUACCUUUUUACCACUCUUUAUUCAAUCAUGAACCAAACUACAUGUCAACCAUAAUAAGCAAAAUAUGCACAUAUCCAAAAUUCCAUAACACAAACAAAACAAAUGGCUAAUCUCAACAAAACACAUAUAAGCCAACAUUGGCCAAACUAAUCUAUACAUGCCAUUAUAACCGAAAUUAAACAACCGAAUGUACCAAAAGAGCCAAUGGAUAGUGUGAUAUAGCUCCGACAAGCUUUCAACCAGAACGAGCUUUCGAAUCACUAAAAACACAGAAAAUAACACAGAGUAAGCAUUCAAGCUUAGUAAGUUCAUAUAGCAUAUAAUUUAACUUACCAUUUAGUCACAUUUAAGGUAAGCAUACAAAACAUAUCCAAACUCAAUUAGGAUAAAAGCCUCAACACAUAUCCUCAUCAACCAUGUUAGUCAUGUAAUUCAUAUAAAUAUCAAGAAACAUGUAUGAGCUCAACAAUAAUCAAACUUGCAUGUACAUAUAAUUUCCACAUCAUGUAUUUACAUAUCAUGUACAAAUCAUUUUCAUAUAUCUCAUGUAAAUACAUGUAGUAGUUUGUAUUGAACUCAUGUAAUAUCAUAACAGAACAGUGCCCGUUGAACCAUUUAGAUUAUUGUUGGAUACGCGGAUAGUACACAUGAGGUGUACUGAACUGUAAUUCAUCAAUUCAUGUACAUGUAUGCUCAUAUGAGCUAUAAACAGUAAGCUCCUCUGAGAUGAAUAACAAUAAGCUUGUACGAGCUGAAUAUCGGUAAGCUCAUAUGAGCUGAGUAUCGGUAAGCUCAUAAGAGCUGAAAUCGAUAACCCUAAUGACAUGUUUACCAAGCCAUGACAUUCCACUAACACAUUUAACCUUUAAAAUUAUUUCAAUUUACAAGUUUAAGAAAGAACAUAAAAGAUGAUACUUGGCUUUAUUUUACUAAAUUUUGUUAUUUACUUAAUUACUUAUUUAACCUUUAAAAUCAUUUCAAUUUACAAGUUUACUAAGCCAUGACAUUCCACUAACACAUUUAAGGGUUAUUUACCAUAUAAGGACCUCUACUUUAAAUUUUUAUAGCUAUUUAAUACCUUUAGCUAUUAGAACUUUACUUUUACACUUUACGCGAUUUAGUCAUUUUUAUCAAAUUGAACAUGUAAACGGUAAAAUUUCUUAACGAAAUUUUCAUAUGGUAAUAUUAUCAUGUUUUCGACCAUAAAAUAAUAAUAAAAUAAAAUUUUUUACUUCAUAUUUGUGGUCCCAAAACUACUAUUCUGAUUUCACUGAAAAUGGGUUGUUACACCUUUCUUGCUUGAUUGCUUCCGUAAGUUUGCUAUCGUGCUUAAUUGGGCAUUCUGUGUGGUUUCUUACAUUGAUUGCAAGGAUAUUGCGUAAGUUAUGUUGUUGUUUUUUACCUAUUUUUUCUAGACUUCGUCUGUUUCGUCGAGGUUAGAUAUUACUGUUAAUGGUUGUAAAAUCUCGUUAAUAGUUCCAAUGGAUCUUCUUUUAGGAAAAGGUUUCAAAAGUAACAUUUCCCUGUGAGAUUAGGUCCGAAUUGUUGUUGCUUGCUUGUCAGUAAUUGAAAAUUUCUAUUUUGGAUAGCUGCGUCGAAGUUUUCGACGAACGUUAGUUUUGAGUGCUAAUUUUGGCAUUUUGAGUUGAUUUAGUCAUUUAAUUCGUCAAUUAAUUGUCGUUUUAGGUUUCAGAUUCUUGUGUGUUGCUUCUACAUCGAAACUACAUCAAGUGUGUAACGAAAACUCAUUUUUCUAUGAUUUACGAAUGCUAGAAAACAUGGCUGUUAAUCACACGACCGUGUGUUAGGCCAUGUAACUUACUGUUUAUGUAUUAAAGUCACCGAGCCAAGGACGUGGGCGUGUGUCCUAGUCGUGUAACUUACUAUUUGUGGAUUGGAGUCACACAGGCUAGGGACACGUUUGUGUGUCCAGACUGUGUGAAGGAAAUUUUAUGAAUUGAGUCACACAAGCGUGUGCUUGACUAUGUCAUAGACCGUGUAACUCACUUUUUUGAGCCACACGAUCGUGUGCCAGGCCGUGUGAUAGAUCGUGUGCUACACGGGCCAGCCUUCCGGGACAUGUGAAUCCACACAAGUGUGUGGGUCAAAAUUUCAAAUUUUUUAUUAGGGCCGUAAACAUCAUUCCAGUCAAACGUAGGCCUACUGUAGGGUCUGGAUGAUCUGAUUUGGGUUAUAAAACCCAUUGACUAGUUAUCUGUUUCUGUAUAAACUGUUAUUUUAUAUACAUCAUAGAAUUGUAAACUAGAGAGUAGUUGUAUUCUGUAUUAAUUGAGUAUAACCUGAAAUUUGUAACAUCGUAUGCUUAUAUCUGUAUCUGUAACAUUGCAUCUGCAUUGGGGUUGGGAUUGAAUAAGGAGGAAGUUAUGGCAGUUAAAUAAUCUGCUAAGACUGGUGGCUAAGACACGUAAAUGUAUCUAAUUUUGGUGACUUUCGCAUUCUGUCCUAGCAAUUAGUCUGCAACCUUUUGAACGUGACAUAUGGUCACUAUGUGGUGUGUAGGGACGAUACCCUUUUUGGUGUGUAGGGUUGGAUGCAGAUGGUGUGUAAUUGACAUAUUCUACUCUAUUUCCGUAUAUAAUUCUGAGAACUGUUCUAACUUUAAGAAAUUGAAGAUCUAUUUUGUUGUUUCACUUAAUAAUAAUAUAAGUUAUACGCUAUGUAUAACACCCUUUACCCGAGACCGUGGUCGGAGUCGAGCAUGAGGUGUUACUUGACUUAACUUAAAAGUUCAGGGCAUAAAAAUUUACUUUCAAAAUUAAUUUCACCAUUCACAAUAAAGUUGUCCACCUGAGCAGCAGUCACUAAAUUAAUUAUAACUCAAGCUAAGAAACUCGAAAUUUAGAUUCGUAAAUUUUCCCUGAAACUAGACUCAUAUAUCUAUUCACAAAAAUUUUUCAGAAUUUUUUAUUUGACCAAUUAGUACAGUUUAUUAGUUGAAGUCUCCCCAGUUUCACUAAUCGACUAUCCUGACCUCUCGUCACUAAAAUUCAAUUAUCUCAUUAUACAGACUUGACAUGCUGAUUCCACUUAUUUAUACUUAAAAUAUACUCAUUAAGGAAUUUAAAAAUAUAAUUUAUAACUCAUAAUUCUAUUUGUACAAUUUUUAAUGAAUUUCUAAAGUCAGAACAGGGGACUUCAGAAUCAUUCUGACUCUGUCUCACUAAAAUUAAAAUAUCUAAAAGUAUAUAACUCUUUUGCUUACUCUAUUGCUUUCAUGUGAAAGUAGACUCAUUCAGAUUUAAUUUCAUCUCUCGCUAAACAUAUAAUUCUAUUUCUACAAUUUUUGGUAAUUUUUCAAAGUUACAUCAAUGCUGCUGCCCAAAAAUAGUUCCAUUGAAAUUUUUAAAAAAAAAUUCAAUAUAACCCCUUUAUAAUUAUCUAACCUUCCCUGCAAAUUUCAAAUCACAACCAAUUUCAGUAUUUCAACUACUUCACUUAAAUACUAAUGAAGUUCAACUAAUCAACCAUUUCAAACUAAAAACAUGUAUAGUUCAAUGUUUAACACAACCAUCACAUUCAAAUUUAUUCAUUCUAUUACUUUUUACUUCAAUUCCCUAUACAUGUCAUAUAAAUCCAAAAAGUUGUUUAACAAAAUCUACAGGAGUAAAUCUGGAUAGUGUGAUUCUUGGUGUAGAUCUGAUCCUCCGAAUGUAUAAAUACGUCAAUCUACAAGAAUCAAUAAACACACAAUUAAGCGUAUAGAAAGCUUAGUAAGUUCAUAGGCACCAAACAUAAAUCUUACCAAACAUUUAUACACUUAUACAUUAUACACCAUUACUAAGUUUACCUGUCAACCACAAUCUUUGGUGAGUUCCUUGGUAUAAACUCACUACUACUUAUUCUUUUACCAUAAUUCCUUUGGGCCCAUUUGUCACUUACCAUCCUUGAUCAAAAUUAAGGAACGGUUACGGAAAAUUGAGUACUUCACUUUCACUUUGCCAUAGUAUAACUAUGGUCUUACGUAUGAUCAAACAUCACUUGUCCUUGAUAAGAUAAGUGUAGCUAGGCAACCACUUAUCACUUUGUCACUUGAUCAGAUAAGUGCAGCUAAAGCUACCAUUUAUCACUUUAUCACCACUUAUCACUUGUUCUUGAUUAGAUAAGUGUAGCUAAAGUUACCACUUAUCACUUUGUCACCACUUAUCACUUGUUCCUAAUCAGAUAAGUGUAGCUAAAACUACCACUUAUCACUUUGUCACUUGAUCAGAUAAGUGUAGCUAAGCUAUCACUUAUCACUUUGUCACUUGAUCAGAAGUACUCAAAUCCGGUGUUCUGCUCAAUUUGAUCAUUUAUUCAGUUUUCACAUUUUUAUUUUAUUCUCAUUUCAUCAAUAAAUAUAUAUAUUUCAUCAUACAUUAUAUAAUUCAUGAAAUUAACAUUUAAUCAUUAAAUUUUAGCCAUAUGAACUUACCUGGGUUGAUUUGCUGAAUUUGUAAAAGUUUAGGGACUAAUCAGCUACUUUUUUUUUCCUCGACUUGUUUCGGGUUCUCAAUAUGAUUCAAAUAUAUGAAAAACCAACUUGGAGGGACUCUUCAAUGGUGUUUUUUGCUAAAAAAUAUGAGGAAUUGCCUAGAAACACUUUUAGUUAAGAUUUUUAUUUGUUAUUUUUUACAAAAUUUCCAAUUUUGCCCUUAUUACAUCACUUUUUCAAAUUUUUCUUCUCUUAUGUCGUCUCAACUAUUCCAUAUUGGCAUAUUUAUGCCUUAAGUCCCUCCUUAUUUACCACUUAAGCUAUUUAAUCACUUUUAACAAAUUUUACAUUAUUUUCAGUUUAAUCCUUUUUAAUUAAUUAACCACCCAAACGUUAGAAUUUUCUAACGAAAAUUUAAUACCAACUCAAUGACACUCCAUAAAUGUUUCUAAAAAUAUUUAUGGCUCGAUUUAUGAGGUUGAGGUUUCAAUACCUCAUUUUCGAUUCUAAUUAUUUUAAUAUUUAUUCUUAGUACAUUAUUCACUAUUUCAAAAAUUUUCCUAACUUCGCAUUUAACUUAUACUCACUAAAUUAAUAAUAUUUUCUACUCAUUUGUCAAAUUUAAUGAUCUCGAAUUACCAUUCCGACACCACUGAAAAUUCAGGCCAUUACAACUCUCCCCCCAUUUUGGAAAUUUCAUCACCGAAAUUUCGUACCUGAAAAUAAAUUCGGAUACUGAAAUCUCAGCAAUUCCUCUGUUUCCCAGGUUGCCUCCUCAGAUCCAUGUCGAUUCCAUAACACCUUAACUAGUGGUACAUGUUUAUUCCUCAACUCUUUAACCUUCUGAGCUAAAAUUUUCACCGGUUCCUCUGAAUAAGUCAUGUCAGGUUGAAGCUCUAUUUCCGUAUGAGGAAUUACAUGUGAUGGAUCUGAUCUGUACCGUCUCAACAUAGACACAUGAAACACAUUAUGAAUCUUUUCAAGUUCCGGGGGCAAAGCUAAUCUAUAGGUUACCGGACCGAUUCUUUCAAUGAUUUCAUACGGCCCGAUAAAUCGUGGGCUGAGUUUCCCCUUUUUGCUGAACCGCAAAACUUUCUUCCACGGUGACACUUUCAAAAAUACACGAUCACCCACAUUAAACUCUAUAUCCCUUCUCUUCAAAUUUGCAUAUGAUUUUUGCCGAUCGGAGGUAGCUUUUAAACAAUCUCGAAUAAUACGAACUUUUUCUUCAGUUUCCUGAGUCAAUUCCACUCCCACUAGUUUCGAUUCACUUAAUUCAGACCAAUAUAAUGGAGUUCUACACUUUCUUCCAUACAAAGCUUCAAACGGUGCCAUUUUAAUGCUAGUUUGAUAACUAUUAUUAUAAGCAAAUUCGGCUAAAGGUAAAUACCUUUCCCAGCUACCGCCGAACUCAAGUAUACAACACCUUAACAUAUCUUCUAAAAUCUGAAUCACUCGCUCUGACUGCCCAUCUGUCUAGGGAUGAAAAGCUGUGUUGAAAUUUAAUUUGGUGCCUAAAGCUUCCUGUAAUUUACUCUAAAAUCUCGAGGUAAAUCUCGGAUCUUGAUCUGAAAUAAUAGAUGUCGGUACCCCAUGUAACCUCACUAUCUCAGACACAUAUAACUCCGCUAACUUUUCAAGCUGAUAAUCUGCUCUGACUGGAAUAAAAUGUGCUGACUUAGUUAACCGAUCAACAAUCACCCAUAUUGAAUGUUUCUUCUUCAGAGUUACUAGUAAUCCAGAUACAAAAUCCAUCGUAACAUGUUCCCAUUUCCAAUCUGGAAUCAUAAUGGGCUGUAACAACCCUGUCGGCACUUGAUGCUCAGCUUUCACCUGUUGACAGAUCAAACAUCUUGCUACAUACUCAAAGAUUUCCCGUUUCAUUCCGGGCCACCAAUACAUUUUCUUCAAAUCACAAUACAUUUUUGUACUACCCGGGUAAAUAGAACACAUACUACUGUGAGCCUCUGAUAAAAUAUCAUUUUUCAAGUUUAAAUUAUUCGGAAUACAUAUUCUAUUACGAUAAUAUAACAUACCAUUUUCAUCAAUGGAGUAUUCUGAGCUUAACUUAUCUUGAACCAUCUGUCGCUUUAUCAUCAAUUUUGGGUCAUCAUCCUAUAACUCCCGAAUCCGUUGAAAGAACACGGGUUUAGCCUUUAAUUCUGCUAGUACAGAACCAUCCUCAUUAAUAGAUAAAUGAGCAUUCAAUGCCCGUAGUGCAAAUAAUGAUGAUUUCCGACUAAGCGCAUCUGCUGCGGCAUUUGCUUUCCCUGGGUGAUAGUCAAUGACAAGAUCAUAAUCUUUCAGCAACCCCAACCAUCGUCUCUGUGUCAAAUUUAACUCUUUCUGAGUCAUUAAAUACUUCAAGCUUUUAUGAUCAGUAUACACGUAACAUUUCUCACCAUAUAAGUACUCUCCAUAUCUUCAAAGCAAACACGAUCGCUGCCAAUUCCAAAUCAUGUGUAGGAUAAUUCUUGUCGUGCGGUUUCAGUUGCCAAGAAGCAUAUGCCACCACUUUGCCUGACUGAAUAAGUACACAGCCCAACCCAUUUACAGAUGCAUCACUAUAUACUACAAACGGUACACCCGAUUCUGGUUGAGUCAACACUGGAGCCUCUGUCAACAUCUUUUUCAACUGAUCGAAACUCCGCUGACAUUCAUCUAACCAUAUAAAUUCAACAUUCUUUUGUAGCAAUCGAGUUAACGGUAAGGUAAUCAUUGAGAAAUCUUUGACAAAUCGACGAUAAUAACCUGCCAAUCGUAGAAAACUCUGCACUUCAGUCACAUUCUUCGGAACUUUCCAAUUUAUCACUGCCGCUACCUUACUUGGAUCCACUCUUAUUCCAUCAGCUGAUACAAUAUGACCCAAAAAUGCAACUUCAUGGAGCCAAAAUUCACAUUUGCUGAAUUUGGCAUACAAUUGUUUCUCCCACAAAGUCUGUAAUACAAUCAUUAGAUGUUGUGCAUGUUCGGACUCUGUCUUUGAAUAAAUCAAUAUAUCGUCAAUGAACACAACCACAAAUCUAUCCAAAUAUGACUGAAAAAUUCUAUUCAUCAAAUCCAUAAAAGCAGCAGGGGCAUUGGUUAAACCAAAUGGCAUCACCAAAAAUUCAAAAUGACCAUAUCGAGUUCGAAAGGCAGUUUUCGGCACUUCACACUCUUUAACUUUCAACUGAUAAUACUCGGAUCGAAGAUCUAUCAUGGAAAAUACUGUAGCACCUUUCAACUGAUCAAACAAAUCAUCAAUAUGAGGCAAAGGAUUUUUAUUCUUUACUGUUACCUUAUUCAACUGUCUGUAAUCUAUACACAGUCUUAAAAAACCGUCCUUCAUUUUCACAAACAAGACAGGUGUACCCCAGGGCGACAUACUCGGUCUGAUGAACCCUUUAUCUAAUAACUCCUGCAGCUGCGCCUUCCGUUCUUUUAACUCGACUGGAGCCAUUCUGUAUGGUGUCAUUGAGAUAGGAGUUGUUCCGGGGAUCACAUCAAUUACAAAUUCAACUUCUCUAUCAGGUGGUAGACCGGGUAACUCUUCAGGGAACAUAUCAGGGAAUUCAUUCACCAUUGGCACUUGUUCGAGCUUCAAACCAGAACCCUGAGUAUCCAGGAUAUAGGCCAAGAAUGCUUCGUUGCCUUUGUGUAAUAACCUCUGAGCAGAGAGAGCUAAAAUAAUUCUGACUGUAUCACCCAGAUUUUCAGACCCAACUGAGAUUAUAUCUCCCGUUUGACAUUUCAAACUGAUUUGUUUAUCACGAUAAUUCACUACCGCAUCAUGUCUCAUUAACCAGUCCAUCCCCAGAAUAAUGUCAAAUUCCCGAAAAGGUAACAACAUCAAAUCAGCGAGGAAUUCAUAGCCUUUCACUUUCAGUGGACAAUUACGACAUAUCAAAUUAACCAUCACACUUUGACCUAAUGGGUUUGUGACUUGUAUAUCAAAUUCAGUGGACUCAACAGAUAAUUUCUUUUUAGAUGCUAACAUAGUGCAAAUAUAUGAAUGAGUAGAUCCAGGGUCUAUCAAUGCAUAAACAAUAACAUCAUAAAGAUAGAAAGUACCAGCAAUUACAUCAGGAGCCGUAGCCUCUUUCCUUGCUCGAAUGGCGUAGGUACGUGCUGGUGCUCUAUUCUCUGAUCGACCAACUGAUUCCCUCGUACCCGAACGGGUAGUCCCUGUAGCACUGCUCUGGCCCGAACGUCUACUUUUUUGGGGAAUGGUUCUCUGUAUUUCUUUCUGUUCCACUUCAUCUUUUUACAGUCGGGAACAAUCUCGAAUAAGAUGAUUAGUACCCUCACAUUUUUAACAAGCCCCUAUCUUGGUCCUGCAUUCUCUGAAAUGAUAUCUUCCACAAUAUUGACACUUAGGCCGGGGAGCAUUCUGAACACUGCUCACACUUGCUGGAGGUCUAUCGAAUACCCUGAAAUCAGAUUGUCUUGGUCUAUCUCUACCCGAUCUUCUCGACAGUGAUGUAGUUCGACUAAUUUCUUCUCUAGAUUUGUUCACUGGUAAAUCUAAAAAUGACUUAGAAGCACCUCUUUUGAAUGGCUCUUUACUUUUUCGAUCCCGCUACAUUUUUCUGUUGUAUACUUCUUCGAGCUUUUGAGCACGGUCUGACAGAACAGGGAACUCUCGUAUUUCAUUACCCCCAAUCAUCAUUCUAAUUUCAUCAUUUAACCCUUCUUCAAACCUGAUACACAUUUCUUCUUUAAUAAGUACAAUGUCUCGGGCAUAUUUGCUGAGGUAGACAAAUUCUCUUUCGUAUUCAGCCACUGAUUUAUCUCCCUGGCGUAGGUCGAGAAAUUCCCUUUUAUUUUUAUCCAAAUACCGUCUGCCCACAUAUUUCUUCUUAAAUUCAUUUUGGAAAAAUUCCCAAUAAAUUUUCUCUGUCGGAACCACAUCCUCAAUCGUCUCCCACCAACUAUAAGCUUCUUCUUUCAAUAGAGACACAACACAACUCAAAUAAUCAUCUAGUGAGCAAACCAUUUCUUUAAAAAUUCUUAUUAAACUCUGUAACCAAUAUUCAGCUUUGACGGGAUCUUUAUCAGUCCUUCCCCGAAAUUCUUCGGCUCCAAGUUUUUUAAGCCUUUCCAAUGGAGAACGCUUUCUGGAUUCAGUCGUUGUAAAAGGUGGAGGAGCAACCGGGUGUGCCACCGAUGGAGCAGUAGGGGGAGGAGGUGGUUCAGCCUGAUUUCUUUCUUGCCUCAUUUCAGUAUAUCAUUGAUUCAUAAUCCCAUAAAUCAUAUUCUUUAACUCUUGCUCUCGCAUUUGGGAGAUCGGAACAUCACUGCUUGUUCUUUGUUUAGAAUUAUGUAUUCUACUAUUAACUUCUUCUUUCUCAGUACGUUUAGGUAUAUCUGACAUCUCCAUAACCGGAGAAUAUCUACUAUUAACUUCUUCUUACUGGAUUCAGUCGUUGUAAGAGGUGGAGAAGCAACCGGGGGUACCACCGAUGGAGCAGUAGGCAGAGGAGGUGGUUCAGCCUGAUUUCUUUCUUGCCUCAUUUCAGUAUACCACUGAUUCAUAAUCCCAUAAAUCAUAUUCUUUAACUCUUGCUCCCGUAUUUGGGAGAUCAGAACACCACUGCUUGUUCUUUGUUCAGAAUUAUGUAUUCUACUAUUAACUUCUUCUUGCUCAGUACGUUCAGGUAUAUCUGACAUCUCUAUAACCGGAGAAUAUCUAUAAAAAUAACAAAGAUUAGAUCGCAUCAUACGCAUUACACUAUCACAGAUUUAUAUGGCAUGUAUUUCUAAACACUUUACACUUUACACAUAUUCCGAGAACCGGCUAAACCUGGAUCUGAUACCAAUAAAAUGUAACACCCUUUACCUGAGACCGUUUCCAGAGUCGAGCAUGAGGCGUUACUUGACUUAACUUAAAAGUUCAGGGCAUAAAAAAUUACUUUCAAAAUUAAUUUCACCAUUCACAAUAAAGCUGUCCACCCACGCAGCAAUCUCUAAAUUAAUUAUAACUCAAGAUGCGAAACUCGAAAUUUAGAUCUGUAUAUUUUACCUAAAACUAGACUCAUAUAUCUAUUCACUACAAAAUUUUCAGACUUUUUGGUUUGGCAAAUUAGUACAGUUUAUUAAUUGAAGUCUCCCCUGUUUCACUAAUAGACUAUCCUGACCUCUCGUCACUAAAAUUCAAUUAUCUCAUUAUACAAACUUGACUUGGUGCUUUCAAUUAUUUUUACUUAAAAUAGACUCAUUAAGGAAUUUAAACAUAUAAUUUAUAACUCAUAAUUCAUUUUGUACAAUUUUUAAUGAAUUUCUAAAGUCAAAAUAGGGGACUUCAAAAUCAUUCUGACUCUGUCUCACUAAAAUUCAAAUAUCUAAAAGUAUAUAACUCUUUUGCUUACUCUAUUGCUUUAAUGUGAAAGUAGGCUCAUUCAGCUUUAAUUUCAUCUCUCACUCAACUUAUAAUUCUAAGUCCACAUUUUUGGUGAUUUUUCAAAGUUACAUCAAUACUGCUGUCCAAAAACUGUUCCAUUGAAAUUUUUUUAAAAAAUUUCAAUAUAACCCUUUUAUAAUUAUCUAACCUUCCCUGCAAAUUUUAAAUCACAACCAAUUUCAGUAUUUCAACCACUUCACUUAAAUACUAAUGAAGUUCAACCAAUCAACCAUUUCAAACUAAAAACAUGCAUAGUUCAAUGUCUAACACAACCAUCACAUUCAAAUUUACUUUGCAUAUUUAGAUAUUCAUUCUUUUACUUUUUACUUCAAUUCCCUAUACAUGUCAUAUAAAUCCAAAAAGUUGUUUAACAAAAUCUACCGGAGUAAAUCUUGAUAGUGUGAUUCUUGGUGUAGAUCCGAUCCUCUGAAUGUAUAAAUACGUCAAUCUACAAGAAUCAAUAAACGCACAAGUAGGCUUAAUAAACACACAAGUAAGCUUAUAGAAAGCUUAGUAAGUUCAUAGGCACCAAACAUAAAACUUACCAAACAUUUAUACACUUAUACAUUAUACACCAUUACUAAGUUUACCUGUCAACCACAUUCUUUGGUGAGUUCCUUGGUAUAAACUCACUAAUACUUAUUCUUUUACCAUAAUUCCUUUGGGCCCAUUUGUCACUUACCAUCCUUGAUCAAAAUUAAGGAACGGUUACGGAAAAUUGAGUACUUCACUUUCACUUUGCCAUAGUAUAAAUAUGGUCUUACGUAUGAUCACUUAUCACUUGUCCUUGAUCAGGUUAGUGUAGCUAGGCUACCACUUAUCACUUGUUCCUGAUCAGAUAAGUGUAGCUAAGCUAUCACUUGUCACUUUGUCACUUGAUCAAAAGUACUCAAAUCCGGUGUUCCGCUCAAUUUGAUCACUUAUUCAGUUUGCGCAUUUUUAUUUUAUUCUCAUUUCAUCAAUAAAUAUAUAUAUAUAUUUCACCAUACAUUAUAUAAUUCAUGAAAUUAACAUUUAAUCAUUAAAUUUCAUCCAUAUGAACUUACCUAGGUCGAUUUUCUGAAUUUGUAAAAGUUCAAGGACUAAUCAGCUACUUUUUCUUUUCCUCGACUUGUUUCGGGUUCUCGAUAUGAUUCAAAUAUAUGAAAAACUAGCUUGGAGGGACUCUUCAAUGGCGUUUUUUGCUGAGAAAUAUGAUGAAUUGCCUAGAAACUCUUUUAGUUAAGAUUUUUAUUUGUUAACUUUUACAAAAUUUCUAAUUUUGCCCUUAUUACAUCACUUUUUCAGAUUUUUCUUCUCUUAUGCCGUCUCAACUAUUCCAUAUUAGCAUAUUUAUGCCUUAAGUCCCUCCUUAUUUACCACUUAAGCUGUUUAAUCACUUUUAACAAAUUUUACAUUAUUUUCAGUUUAGUCAUUUUUAAUUAAUUAACCACCAAAACGUUAGAAUUUUCUAACGAAACUUUAAUACCAACUCAAUGACACUCUAUAAAUGUUUCUAAAAAUAUUUAUGGCUCGAUUGAUGAGUUUGAGGUUUCGAUACCUCAUUUUCGACUCUAAUUAUUUUAAUAUUUAUUCUUAGUACACUAUUCACUAUUUCAAAAAUUUUCCUAACUUCGCAUUUAACUUAUACUCACUAAAUUAAUAAUAUUUUCUACUCAUUUGUCAAAUUUAAUGAUCUCGAAUUACCAUUCCGACACCACUGAAAAUUCAGGCCAUUACAACUCUCCCCCCAUUUUGGAAAUUUCGUCCCCGAAAUUUCGUACCUGAAAAUAAAUUCGAAUACUGAAAUCUCAUCAAUUCCUCUGUUUCCCAGGUUGCCUCCUCAGAUCCAUGUCGAUUCCAUAACACCUUAACUAGUGGUACAUGUUUAUUCCUCAACUCUUUAACAUCCCAAGCUAAAAUUUUCACCGGUUCCUCUGAAUAAGUCAUGUCAGGUUGAAGCUCUAUUUCCGUAUGAGGAAUUACAUGUGAUGGAUCUGAUUUGUACCGUCUCAACAUAGACACAUGAAACACAUUAUGAAUCUUUGCAAGUUCCGGGGGCAAAGCUAAUCUAUAGGUUACCAGACCGAUUCUUUCAAUGAUUUCAUACGGCCCGAUAAAUCGUGGGCUGAGUUUUCCCUUUUUGCUGAACCGCAAAACUUUCUUCCACGGUGACAGUUUCAAAAAUACACGAUCACCCACAUUAAACUCUCUAUCCCUUCUCUUCAAAUCUGCAUAUGAUUUUUGCUGAUCGGAGGCAGCUUUUAAGCAAUCUCGAAUAAUACGAACUUUUUCUUCAGUUUCCUGAGUCAAUUCCACUUCCACCAGUUUCAAUUCACUUAAUUUAGACCAAUAUAAUGAAGUUCUACACUUUCUUCCAUACAAAGCUUCAAACGGUGCCAUUUUAAUGCUAGUUUGAUAACUAUUAUUAUAAGCAAAUUCGGCUAAAGGUAAAUACCUUUCCCAGCUACCGCCGAACUCAAGUAUACAACACCUUAACAUAUCUUCUAAAAUCUGAAUCACUCGCUCUGACUGCCCAUCUGUCUGGGGAUGAAAAGCUGUGUUGAAAUUUAAUUUGGUGCCUAAAGCUUCCUGUAAUUUACUCUAAAAUCUCGAGGUAAAUCUCGGAUCUCGAUCUGAAAUAAUAGAUGUCGGUACCCCAUGUAACCUCACUAUCUCAGACACAUAUAACUCCGCUAACUUUUCAAGCUGAUAAUCUGCUCUGACUGGAAUAAAAUGUGCUGAUUUAGUUAACCGAUCAACAAUCACCCAUAUCGAAUCUUUCUUCUUCGAAGUUACUGGUAAUCCGGAUACAAAAUCCAUCGCAACAUGUUCCUAUUUCCACUCUGGAAUCAUAAUGGGCUGUAACAACCCUGUCGGCACUUGAUGCUCAGCUUUCACCUGUUGGCAGAUCAAACAUCUUGCUACAUACUCACAGAUUUCCCAUUUAAUUCCGGGCCACCAAUACAUUUUCUUCAAAUCACAAUACAUUUUUGUACUAACCCGGUGAAUAGAACACAUACUACUGUGAGCCUCUGAUAAAAUAUCAUUUUUCAAGUUUAAAUUAUUCGGAAUACAUAUUCUAUUACGAUAAUAUAACAUACCAUUUUCAUCAAUGGAGUAUUCUGAGCUUAACUUAUCUUGAACCAUCUGUCGUUUUAUCAUCAAUUUUGGGUCAUCAUCCUGUAACUCUUGAAUCCAUUGAAAGAACACGGGUUUAGCCUUUAAUUCUGCUAGUACAGAACCAUCCUCAUUAAUAGAUAAAUGAGCAUUCAAUGCCCGUAGUGCAAAUAAUGAUGAUUUCUGACUAAGUGCAUCUGCUGCGGCAUUUGCUUUCCCUGGGUGAUAGUCAAUGACAAGAUAAUAAUCUUUCUGCAACUCUAACCAUCGUCUCUAUCUCAAAUUUAACUCUUUCUGAGUCAUUAAAUACUUUAAGCUUUUAUGAUCAGUAUACACGUAACAUUUCUCACCAUAUAAGUAGUGUCUCCUUAUCUUCAAAGCAAACACGAUCGCUGCCAAUUCAAAAUCAUGUGUAGGAUAAUUCUUGUCGUGCGGUUUCAGUUGCCGAGAAGCAUAUGCCACCACUUUGCCUGACUGAAUAAGUACACAGCCCAACCCAUUUACAGAUGCAUCACUAUAUACUACAAAUGGUACACCCGAUUCUGGUUGAGUCAACAUUGGAGCCUCUGUCAACAUCUUUUUCAACUGAUCAAAACUCCGCUGACAUUUAUCUGACCAUAUAAAUUCAACAUUCUUUUGUAGAAAUCGAGUCAACUGUAAGGUAAUCAUUGAGAAAUCUUUGAUAAAUCGACAAUAAUAACAUGCCAAUCGUAGAAAACUCCACACUUCAAUAACAUUCUUCGGAACUUUCCAAUUUACCAUUGCCGCUACCUUACUUGGAUCGACUCUUAUUCCAUCAGCUGAUACAAUAUGACCCAAAAAUGCAACUUCAUGGAGCCAAAAUUCUCAUUUGCUAAAUUUGGCAUACAAUUGUUUCUCUCACAAAGUCUGUAAUACAAUCCUUAGAUGUUGUGCAUGUUCGGACUCUGUCUUUGAAUAAAUCAAUAUAUCGUCAAUGAACAACCACAAAUCUAUCCAAUUAUGACUGAAAAAUUCUAUUCAUCAAAUCCAUAAAAGCAGCAAGGGCAUUGGUUAAACCAAAUGGCAUCACCAAAAAUUCAUAAUGACCAUAUCGAGUUUGGAAGGCAGUUUUCGGCACAUCACACUCUUUAACUUUCAACUGAUAAUACCCAGAUUGAAGAUCUAUCUUGGAAAAUAUUGCAGCACCUUUCAACUGAUCAAAUAAAUCAUCAAUAUGAGGCAAAGGAUAUUUAUUCUUUACUGUUACCUUAUUCAACUGCCUGUAAUCUAUACACAGUCUUAGAGAACCGUCCUUUUUUUUCACAAACAAGACAGGUGCACCCCAGGGCGACAUACUCAGUCUGAUGAACCAUUUCUCUAAUAACUCCUGUAACUGCGCCUUCAACUCUUUUAACUCGGCUGGAGCCAUUCUGUACGGUGUCAUUGAGAUAGGAGUUGUUCCGGCGAUCACAUCAAUUACAAAUUCAACUUCUUUAUCAGGUGGUAGACCGGGUAACUCUUCAGGGAACACAUUAGGGAAUUCAUUCACUACUGGCACUUGUUUGAGCUUCAAACCAGAACCCUGAGUAUCCAUGAUAUAGGCCAAGAAUGCUUCGUUGCCUUUGCGUAAUAACCUCUGAGCAGGGAGAGCUGAAAUAAUUCUGACUGUAUCACCCAUAUUUUCAGACCCAACUGAGAUUAUAUCUCCCGUUUGACAUUUCAAAUUGAUCUGUUUAUCACGACAAUUCACUACCGCAUCAUGUCUCACUAACCAGACCAUCCCAAGAAUAAUGUCAAAUUCUCGAAAAGGUAACAACAUCAAAUCAGCGGGGAAUUCAUAGCCUUUCACUUUUAAUGGACAAUUACGACAUAUCAAAUUAACCAUCACACUUUGACCUAAUGGGUUUGUGACUUGUAUAUCAAAUUCAAUGGACUUAACAAAUAAUUUCUUUUCAGAUGCUAACAUAGUGCAAAUAUAUGAAUGAGUAGAUCUAGGGUCUAUCAAUGCAUAAACAAUAACAUCAUAAAGAUAGAAAGUACCAACAAUUACAUCAGGAGCCGUAGCCUCUUCCCUUGCUCGAAUGGCGUAGGUACGUGCUGGUGCUCUAUUCUUUGAUCGACCAACUGAUUCCCUCGUACCCGAACGGGUAGUCCCUGUAGCACUGCUCUGGCCCGAAUGUCUACUUCUUUGGGGAAUGGUUCUCUGUAUCUCUUUCUGUUCCACUUCAUCUUUUUACAGUCGGGGACAAUCUCGAAUAAGAUGAUUAGUAGCCCUACAUUUUUAACAAGCCCCCAUCUUGGUCCUGCAUUCUCCGAAAUGAUAUCUUCCACAAUAUUGACACUUAGGCCGGGGAGCAUUCUGAACACCGCUCACACUUGCUGCAGGUCUAUCGAAUACCCUGAAAUCAGAUUGUCUUGGUCUAUCUCUACCCGAUCUUCCCAACAUUAAUGUAGUUCGACUAAUUUCUUCUCUAGAUUUCUUCACUGGCAAAUCUAAAAAUGACUUAGAAGCACCUCUUUUGAAUGGCUCUUUACUUUUUCGAUCCCGCUGCAUUUUUCUGUUGUAUACUUCUUCGAGCUUUUGAGCACGGUCUGACAGAACAACGAACUCUCGUAUUUCAUUACCCCCAAUCAUCAUUCUAAUUUCAUCAUUUAACCCUUCUUCAAACCUGAUACACAUUUCUUCUUUAGUAGGUACAAUGUCUCGGGCAUAUUUGCUGAGGUAAACAAAUUCUCUUUCGUAUUCAGCCACUGAUUUAUUUCCCUGGCGUAGGUCGAGAAAUUCCCUUUUAUUUUUAUCCAAAUACCGUCUGCCCACAUAUUUCUUCUUAAAUUCAUUUUGGAAAAAUUCCCAAUAAAUUUUCUCUGCUGGAACCACAGCCUCAAUCGUCUCCCACCAACUAUAAGCUUCUUCUUUCAAUAGGGACACAGCACAUCUCAAAUAAUCAUCUGGUGAGCAAACCAUUUCUUUAAAAAUUCUUAUCAAACUUUGUAACCAAUAUUCAGCUUUGACGGGAUCUUCAUUAGUCCUUCCUGAAAUUCUUCGGCUCCAAGUUUUUUAAGCUUUUCCAAUAGAGAACGCUUACUAGAUUCAGUCGUUGUAGGAGGUGGAGGAGUAACCGGGGGUACCAUCGAUGGAGCAGUAGGGGGAGGAGGUGGUUCAGCAUGAUUUCUUUCUUGCCUCAUUUCAAUAUACCACUGAUUCAUAAUCUCAUAAAUCAUAUUCUUUAAUUCUUGCUCUCGCAUUUGGGAGAUCGGAACAUCACUGCUUGUUCUUUGUUCAGAAUUAUGUAUUCUACUAUUAACUUAUUCUUACUUAGUUCGUUCAGGUAUAUCUGACAUCUUUAUAACUGGAGAAUAUCUAUAAAAAUAACAAAGAUUAGAUCGGAUCAUACGCAUCACACUAUCACAGAUUUAUAUGGCAUGUAUUUCUAAACACUUUACACUUCACACAUAUUCCGAGAACCGGCUAAACCGGGAUCUGAUACCAAUAAAAUAUAACACCCUUUACCCAAGACCGUUGCCCGAGUCGAGCAUGAGGCGUUACUUGACUUAACUUAAAAGUUCAGGGCAUAAAAAUUUACUUUCAAAAUUAAUUUCACCAUUCACAAUAAAGCUGUCCACCUGCGCAGGAGUCACUAAAUCAAUUAUAACUCAAGCUACGAAACUCAAAAUUUAGAUCCGUAAAUUUUCCCUAAAACUAGACUCAUAUAAAUAUUCACCAUAAAUUUUUAAGAAUUUUUAGUUUAUCCAAUUAGUAUAGUUUAUUAGUUUAAGUCUCCCUUGUUUCACUAAUAGACUACCCUGACCUCUCGUCACUAAAAUUCAAUUAUCUCCUUAUACAGACUUGACAUGGUGCUUCCAAUUAUUUUUACUUAAAAUAUACUCAUUAAGGAAUUUAAAAAUAUAAUUUAUAACUCAUAAUUACUUUUUUACAAUUUUUAUUGAAUUUCUAAAUUCAGAACAGGGGACUUCAAAAUCAUUCUGACCCUGUCUCACUAAAAUUCAAAUAUCUAAAAGUAUAUAACUCUUUUGCUUACUCUAUUGCUUUCAUGUGAAAGUAUACUCAUUCAGAUUUAAUUUCAUAUCUCACUUAACUUAUAAUUCUAUUUCCACUAUUUUUGGUGAUUUUUCACAGUUACAUCAAUGCUGCUGUCCAAAAACUGUUCCAUUGAAAUUUUUAAAAAAAAUUCAAUAUAACCCCUUUAUAAUUAUCUAACCUUCCCUGCAAAUUUCAAAUCACAACCAAUUUCAGUAUUUCACCUACUUCACUUAAAUACUAAUGAAGUUCAACCAAUCAACCAUUUCAAACUAAAAACAUGUAUAGUUCAAUGUCUAACACAACCAUCAUAUUCAAAUUUACUUUGCAUACUUAGUCAUUCAUUCUAUUACUUUUUACUUCAAUUCCCUAUACAUGCCAUAUAAAUCCAAAAAGUUGUUUAACAAAAUCUACCAGAGUAAAUCUAGAUAGUGUGAUUCUUGGUGUAGAUCCGAUCCUCCGAAUGUAUAAAUACGUCAAUCUACAAGAAUCAAUAAACACAUAAUUAAGCUUAUAGAAAGCUUAGUAAGUUCAUAGGCACCAAACAUAAAUCUUACCAAACAUUUAUACACUUAUACAUUAUACACCAUUACUAAGUUUACCUGUCAACCACAAUCUUUGGUGAGUUCCUUGUUAUAAACUCACUACUACUUAUUCUUUUACCAUAAUUCCUUUGGGCCCAUUUGUCACUUACCAUCCUUGAUCAAAAUUAAGGAACGGUUACGGAAAAUUGAGUACUUCACUUUCACUUUGCCAUAGUAUAACUAUGGUCUUACAUAUGAUCACUUAUCACUUGUCCUUGAUAAGAUAAGUGUAGCUAGGCUACCACUUAUCACUUUGUCACUUGAUCAGAUAAUUGUAGCUAAAGCUACCACUUAUCACUUUAUCACCACUUAUCACUUGUUCCUGAUCAGAUAAGUGUAGCUAAAACUACCACUUAUCACUUUGUCACCACUUAUCACUUGUUCCUGAUCAGAUAAGUGUAGCUAAAGCUACCACUUAUCACUUUGUCACUUGAUCAGAUAAGUGUAGCUAAGCUAUCACUUAUCACUUUGUCACUUGAUCAGAAGUACUCAAAUUCGGUGUUCCGCUCAAUUUGAUCAUUUAUUCAGUUUUCACAUUUUUAUUUUAUUCUCAUUUCAUCAAUAAAUAUAUAUAUUUCAGCAUACAUUAUAUAAUUCAUGAAAUUAACAUUUAAUCAUUAAAUUUCAGCCAUAUGAACUUACCUGGGUCGAUUUAUUGAAUUUGUAAAAGUUCAGGGACUAAUCAGCUACUUUUUCUUUUCCUCGACUUGUUUCGGGUUCUCAAUAUGAUUCAAAUAUAUGAAAAACCAGCUUGGAUGGACUCUUCAAUGGCGUUUUUUGCUGAGAAAUAUGAUGAAUUGCCUAGAAACUCUUUUAGUUAAGAUUUUUAUUUGUUAACUUUUACAAAAUUUCCAAUUUUGCCCUUAUUACAUCACUUUUUCAGAUUUUUCUUCUCUUAUGCCGUCUCAACUAUUCCAUAUUAGCAUAUUUAUGCCUUAAGUCCCUCCUUAUUUGCCACUUAAGCUGUUUAAUCACUUUUAACAAAUUUUACAUUAUUUUCAGUUUAGUCCUUUUUAAUUAAUUAACCACCCAAACGUUAGAAUUUUCUAACGAAACUUUAAUAUCAAUUCAAUGACACUCUAUAAAUGUUUCUAAAAAUAUUUAUGGCUCGAUUGAUGAGUUUGAGGUUUCGAUACCUCAUUUUUUAUUCUAAUUAUUUUAAUAUUUAUUCUUAGUAUACUAUUCACUAUUUUAAAAAUUUUCCUAACUUCGCAUUUAACUUAUACUCACUAAAUUAAUAAUAUUUUCUACUCAUUUGUCAGAUUUAGUGAUCUAGAAUUACCAUUCCGACACCACCGAAAAUUCAGGCCAUUACAUUAUGUUUAUUGACUCAUUUUUUCUGUUGACUGAAUUUCAGGUAACUCAUCGACUUAGGCGGGUCGGCAUGGCGAGAGCUCGGUCAUCCUUAUUUAGUAAUUUUCUGUUUAAAUUAAACUUAUGCUAUAGUUGUUUUAUCUUGAAUUACAGAUUGCAAAUUUAUAUUUCUACACUAGUUCAACUAUUUAAACAUUUUCUGACAAUUAAACUUUAAUUAGUUAAAAGUGAGAAUUUCUUAAAUGAUUUGUUGUAGCUUUCCAAGCUUGGUCCUAACAUCUAGGUCGGGUUUGGGGUGUUACAACCCAAAACCCCCAAACUUUCCCCUCAAAACUUUUACUCCCCCACCCUUUCUCUUUCUCGCUCACCCUCCCAAACCCUUUUACUUUUCCCCCAAAACUUUUACUUCCCACUUUUACCCCCAAAUCAAAAAUCAAAAUCCUCCCAAAAAAAUCCUUAAACCUAAAUAGUAAUAAUUUUAUUUAUGGCCACUAUUUAUAUUAUAAAUUAAAUUUCACAUUUUCUAUUAUUUAUAUUAUUAAAUUGUUUAAUCAUUUUGAAUCUUUAUCAAUUUCUGUUAAAACUGUAUCAUUGAUGAUGUCAUACAUUAUUUGUGUUAAAAAUUUCUAUUGGUAUCAAUUUCACAUUUUAUCUUUAAAAUAAAUUUUAUUAAAAAAAUUACUUUUUUACAUUUAAUAUAUUUUUUAAUUUCAAAAUAUAUGGUGACAAGAAUUAGAAGAUAAUUGAAGCAACUAAGCAAGUAAAAAAGCUAACAUGUAUAUAAAAGAUUAAAUAAAUUAUGAAGGGAUGAAAGUUAAUAACACAUUUGAUUACGGUGGACAAAUUUGAUAAUGAUGGGUGACAGUGGCUACAAGGAUCCAAAGUAAUUUUUUCAAUUAACUGGAAACAAAUAUAUUCGAUUCGAUUCGAUAAAAUUUGAAAUCAUUUUAGGAUGAUAAAAUAAGAUUCGUCAACUCGAUUAACUCGAAGUUUUUUCAUUUGAUUCGAUUAGACGCUCACCCCUACAAAGUAUGACCGAUUGGUCUGAUUCUGAAAAAAAUUGGUUUUGAUCAAUGAAAGAACUUUUACGAUGGCGACAGGUCUAACAAACAGGUGAUAUUUUGAAAAGAAAAUUAAUCUCCAUAGUCUCAACCUUAGGAGGGUGAAUUUUGAGCAUUGCAUUUGUUGUCAUUGUUAGACAUUAUAAAGGAAGAAAAAAGAAAGAAAAAAGUUAAAAUGAGGGAAAUUAUUGAAAAAAAGAGAGAAGAGAAUAAUUAAUUUUUUUUAAAAUUUUACAUGUCAAUCUAUUAUUGAUUAGAUUUUUUUAAUGAGUGUAACAUUUUGGUGUUAAAUGGAUAAUAAAAAAAUAUUUUAAGUAUCAUUUAUGAUAAAAAUAUUUAGGUAUCAAUUUGAAAAAAAUAUGUAGCUUAGAUACUAAUUGAUGGGUUAAUUUUUUUAGCUUAAUAAUUUGAUUAAACCGAAAUACCAACUGAAAAAAAGUUUACUCGCCGCUUAUGAAAAAAAAUAAGUAUGAAUUUGUAAGUUAAAUCUCCCUAAAAGAAAAAAUAUAUCACAUUCAAUACGGGGUGAAUGAAGCAAUGAAUGCAAUGGGGUAUUACAACCAGCCACAUGUCAUUCAAUUCAUGUUAUAUCUACCUUGUUGGCCCCACAGGCGGUCUUUUCCAUUAUUUUCGAAGUGAACGACAUGAGUCGGACCUAUAUCGGCCCCAACAAACAACCUCAACCACUUGUUUUGUUAGGUUGUUGACUAAUUUGAAUAUGUCGGCUCAAAGCUUUUUGAAAAUUAAAUUAUUUUUUAUAUUAAUAUCAUAUAGGUAUAAAAAUUUAACGUUUUGUAAAAAAAAUAAAUUUAGUGUUAAAUUUAAAUAAUUAUAAAAAAUUAUACAAAAUACAAAGACAACUUAGAGUCAAUAAAAAAAAUAUGGAAAAUCAAUUCAUACAUGAAAUGGCAUAAAAAUAUUAUGAACACUAUACAAAUAUAUGAAUGUUUUUAUAUCUAUAUAAAAUAAGUUAUUAACGCUUAAAUUUCAACCAAUUAAAUAUUAAUUUAACUAUAAACUAUAAAAAAUUAAAAUUUCAUUUACCCUAAACAAUUAUUCUAAUUUCGCCCCUGUAUAAAAUAGUUGUAAUAUUAAAAAAAAAGUUAUACGAAUAUGGAGUGUUAAAAAAAAAGGCUUUCAACUUUUAAUAUUCCAAACAAAUAAAAGAAAUAAUAAUAACAGUUUACAAGUGCAAUAAAAGUAAUACAUAUUUGAUGAAUUAAAAAUAGAAUAAAUAUAACUAACUAUAACAGAAAUAUAUUUAGAUUUAAACCAAAUUUUUUUGAAGAUGAAAUUUGAACUCACAAAUAAUAUUUAUAAAUGAUGAUAUGUUUUAGAACAUGUAUAUUUUAAUUUCAUUUGAUAUUUAAAUUAAAUGAAUGAAAUGAGUAUAUUAGCAUAAAUAUAUUGAAUUUCUAGAUUUAUUAAAAAUCCAACUAAAUAGAGUAGAUCCAUAAAUUUAAAAAAUGAUUAUGGAUUUUGAAAUAUAAAUCUAAAAUUUAAAAUCUGAAACCCUCCUAAAUGUUUUCCAAAGUAAGGCGGGGAUAAAUGGUAUAGGGAAGACGGUGGGUAGAUAGAUGUACGGUUUAUUUAUAACUUCGUUUUUAUUAGUCGGCUUACAGUUUCAUAAAAAGCAUCCGUGCAAGGCAUGUUCAAAUGCUGCACUAGCAUACCACUACUAUAAAAAAAACACAUACAAGAGCACCACAAAUUUAUCCCAAAAUACAUUAAAUAAAUGACUCCUAAGGGUGCCAGAUUUAACUAGUGUGUCUGGGAUUGUAUUAGCCUCUCUGAGGCCAUGUGAAAAAAUUUAAUGUUAUUGUUAUAUUUCCAUCUCGAUACGUUGCAAGACAUGAAGCAAUCUGUAAACAACUCUCUUUUGGAAGCAGUUUGCAUACGACUCUUCGCUAAGAACCAUUUGUUGUGAUCUUUCGCUUAGGAUUGCUCACAAAUGACCCCCAUGCACCCUAUCUCUCUCCCUCCUUAACUCAUCAUCUUGAACUCUCAUCCUAUUAUAGGUGAAUCGAGACUCUUCUCCUCCACCCUUUCCUCGUUGGUUACUUGUAGCAAAAAAAAUUAAUUUCACCGAAAAUGUUGGAGAGAUCCCAUGGUCUAAGUGUGUUGUUAGAGCAAAGCUCGAUGGCAAAUUUGGAGUCAAAUUUUAGAAUCAACCCUUUAAAAUCCAUUACACCGUAAAGGAAAAUUUUUACAAUUACAUUAACAAUAAAUAUUCAAAAUUUACUCAUCUAUCUAUACUUAUAUUAAGCCUUAUUUGAGUUGGAGUCAAGAGUCAACUAGGUACUAACUCAGUUGAGAAUUUACUAAAUAAUUUUAAUAUAAAGUAAAAAAAAUAUUAAUACGAGGGUGUUUUUAUCUUUUCAUAUUUUUAAAUAAAAAUACUAUAAUAAGAUUUAAACUUAAGUUUAAAAUUUCAAUCAAAACAUCACUUAAAUUUAAAAUAACAUUUUUAUAUAAAAUGUGUUUAGAUUCUAAGAUAAUGAAAUUUAUGAUGAGGUAUUCAAAAUGUGUUUGAAUAUGCUAAUGAGAUAUUCAAAUUGGUAUGCACAUUCCUAAUCAGGGAGCAUUAAUGAUAAUUUAGUAAAAUAAAUUAUCUCAUUAGCAUAUAGUUUAUUAUAAAAUUAUUGUGUAAAAUAAACAAUUCACAAACUUAAGAAUUUAUAACACAAAAAUUAUACAUCAAUGUUGUUAGAAUUGUAUUAUAUCCAUCGGUUGAAUUUAAAUUUAAAAAUUUAAUCAGCGAUAAUAAUUAAAAUCGUUUCAAACUAGUAAAAUAUUGAAAAUUAAGAACUAAUAAAAUAGAUUCUAAUUAUUUUUAUUUAAAAAAUGUUACCUUCUUAUUCAGGUUACAUUAAGACAAACCCAUCUUAAUUAUAAGUAUCAUAUUGUGAAUGGUAAACUUCUUACACAACAUCCACCAUUUGUCCAAAUAUGUUAAAUUAGGUGCAACAUAGAAAUUUUAUUGUAAGGAGUGAAUCUCAUUGUUUUUAUUUUCAUCAAACAUACGUCUAACUUUAUUAUUACGGGAUUAGAACUUAAAUUUGAUAAAUUGUGUGGUUUUAGGUGAUUUCUUUUCGUUAAAUUUAUCUAAAUCAACCUAACACUCGAAAAGUGAGAAUUCUCCUAAAAAUUCUUUAUGUUAGCAAAAAAUAUAGUGGAAGUAACUUGAAACGAAAGAGCAAUGAGAGAAUUGAAAAGACACAAGAAAAUAAUGCAUACAAGGUGUUUGAGUAAAUGCUCUCAAUAAAUUCUUUAACUCAAGAAGGAAUGAAGUACAACCAGUAUCUAGCCCCCCUAAAAUAGAAAAUUUUCCAUUUAUAUACCUUUAUAAUUUAUAAAAUUUAAAAUUUUACUUUCCCAUAAAAUGAUAAAAAAUUGAUUUAUUUCUUUAAAAAUUAUAAAGAUGACUAUUAAAAUAGUAAAAUUGUAUUUUUAUUAUUGUAAAAAUAUACAAUUUAAUUCUGUCUCCCAAAUUUUUUUUUUUUGGUUUCAUCCCUAAGUACAAUGAUCGUUGUAGCAGGAUACAUAGGCAUUCUAGCACAGAAUGCAAAUAUGUUGCCAAUUAACUUCGAGUCAUGGCAUAAAGUGCCCGAGAGUAACAAGAACCAAGCUCUCGAUAACAUUAAGGUAACAAAAUGUGUAUAUCAUUUAUAAUACUUGAGUUUAAGUUUCGUUUACAUUUACUUUCUGAAGUUGUGUUUUUUGUAGGGGAGAUUUGCUCUAGAGGUCUCCGAUGCUUAUGUAAAGAAGGCAUUGGGAAAAAGAUGGAGAGACCAUAAGAGCACUUUAAAGAAAGACUAUUUUAAGACAAAAACAACACUCGACGAGAGAUUACAAAAUGUCACGCCGGGAAUGCUGAGGUACCAGUGGGAAGAAGUCGUUAGAUUUUGGACUUCGAAGAAAGGAGAGGUAUGUGUUACUACAAAAAUCUUGUAAUUAUUUUGGUUUAUAGUAUUUACUAAUUAACGUACUAAUAAUUUCAUAACGUAGGAUCGUGAACGAGUUGGAACAAGUAGUAGGCAGAAACAAAAAUUCACGCACACAGCUGGGUCGAGAAGUUUUGCGUGUGUAGCUCAGGCCGAGGUAUUUUGAAUUUUUUAAUACUGGCAGAUAUUUAUUACUUUCUAUCAAAUAAUAUUUUUACUAUUGUAUUGUAGGAAGUGUUGUCGGGUCAAAAAGUUGGACGCCUUCAACUUUUUGACAUUACACAUAGGAAGAAAGAUGGAAACCCUAUGACUCCUGAAGCUGCAGAAAUUAUGGUACGUUUGCUUAAUACAAUUUGACUUGUUUUAAUUAUUUAUGCUGUUUAUUUUCUAAUGUUUUUUAUUACAUUUCUUGUAAUGCAAAUAUUGUUAAGUUAUGUUGCAUUUGUUUUGUUAAUAUAUGUUGCGUUCUUAACUAUGUGAUUUAUUUUUUAGGAAAAACUGAAGGAUAAAAAGGCGGAGUACGAAGCGAUUGCUUCCAGUGAUAGUUCUGUUCAUAUUGACGACAUUGAUAACCGGAUUAUCACUGAAGUUUUGGGUCCUGAAAGGUAUGGUCGGGUUCGAUUUCAAGGAUCUUUUGUUAACCCAUCCCAAUAUUUUGGAUCCAGCUCGCAACAAUACAUGCAUUCGGGGAGUCAGGCUCAAGCUGAAGUUCAGAGGUUAAGAGACCAGAUAGCUCAGAUGCAAGCGGCAACGAGUGAGCAAAUUACACAACUUAAAGCGGAGGCAACAUCGAGAGAAGCUGAGGUUCAAAAAAGAUAUGAAGAACUCCAGCUACAACUUAAAGCAGAUGCGGCAGCGAGAGAAGCAGAGGUAGCAGCGAGAGAAGCUGAGGUUCAACGAAAGUAUGAGCAACUGCAGCAGCAGCUUAAAGAAGAUGCGGCAACGAGAGAAGCAGCGGCUGCAGCGAGGGAAGUAGAGGCUGCAGUGAGGGAAUCAGAACAGCAUAAAAAGUUCGAUGAACUCCAGCAGCAGCUUCAGAAUAUGAUGAAGAUGUUUCAGCAGUCGCAACCGCCGUCAUCUUAGACUAUCGUUUAAAUAUACUUCAAUUUUGACUUUGGUAUUAUUAUUUUAACUUUUACAAUUUCUGUCAGAAUAAUACGAAUUUUAUUUUAUUUAUUGACAUUUAUUUUAAAUAUUAUAUAGAUUUGGUUAGAUUUGGUUGGUUGGAUUUGGUUUCUUCUGAUUUGUUUUUAUAGGAGGGGGCUGAAAUUUUUUUUUUCAAAUCUGCAAAAAUUAGCGGCGUUUUUUUGGAUAAGCGCCGCUAAAGACCAUCGUCUAUAGUGGAAUUUUUUGGCUAAGCGCCGCUAAAGACCAUGGUCUAUAGUGGCAUUUUUCGGCUAAGCACCGCUAAAGACCAUGGUCUAUAGUGGCGUUUUUUGUCUAAGCGCCGCUAAAGACCAUGGUGUAUAGUGGCAUUUUAUGGCUAAGCGCCGCUAAAGACCAUGGUGUAUAGUGGCGUUUUUUGGCUAAGCGCCGCUAAAGACCAUGGUCUAUAGUGGCGUUUUUUGUCUAAGCCCCGCUGAAAACCAUGGUCUAUAGUGGCGUUUUUUGGCUAAGCGUCGCUAAAGACCAUGGUCUAUAGUGGCGUUUUGUGGCUAAGCGCCGCUAAAGACCAUGAUCUAUAGUGGCAUUUUUCGGCUAAGCGCCGCUAAAGACCAUGGUCUAUAGUGGUGUUUUUUAGGCUAAGCGCCGCUAAAGACCAUGGUCUAUAGCGGCGUUGCAAAGAAAACGCCGCUAAAGACCAUGGUCUAUAGUGGCGUUUUUUAGGCUAAGCGCCGCUAAAGACCAUGGUCUAUAGCGGCGUUGCAAAGAAAAUGCUGCGAAAGGUCUUGAUCUUUAGCGGUGUUUAUUAUAAAAAGCGCCGCUAAAGUUACCGACGCUGUCAUUAGCGGCGAUCCUUGCGGCGCUUCGUAAAGCGCCGCUAAAAGUAUUUGCGGCGCUAAAAAAUGCCGCUAUAGACCUAAAAAAGCGCCGCUAAAACCCUGUUUUGGUGUAGUGUGAGAUGAUUACAAAUGAAGGGGGAGAUCUCUAUUUAUAGUUGAGCUCCCCUAGAUCCAAUAGUAUAGAUUGAAUUACAUCAACGAUUGAGAUUAGUACUUAUCUACAAGAUGAGUCUUAAGGAUUUUAAACUCUAUACAUCUUUAUCCCUUAGGAUUUACAUUAAUUACUCUGGUAACUCUAGUUUUACUGGAGAGUUUCACUGAACCACCAAAGGUUUAAGUAGAUGAGCUUCUCCAUAUGUUCCACGAGUUGGACAAGUUCAAGCGGAUCAAAUGAGCCCAAUUUAAUUAGUUAAUCUCAAUAAAACGUUCUAUGCACAAUGAUCAUGAACUUUGAUCCACAUCUCAAAAUGAUCAGAUGAAUAAUCUCUCUUAAUUAUAUUUUUAUAAAACUUGAUAUUUUCAUUUAAAAAGAAACACAAUCACAUAUAAUAAUGUCUCCAAAAGAGUCGUCCACUUCAAAGAUUUAAAGUAAUGUAAGAAUGAACCCAACAUUUUUCAAUUAAAAAUAUGUCGAUAGAUAUAGCAAGUUGUAUAACCUUUCAAUUACAAAACAGAUUUCAAUGGGGAUUGCAUCCGGUACAUGCAACUAAAGAACAGAACCGGUGCAUAAAUUGAUUUAAUUAAACUUUGGGUUGAGUAAUCAUGAUUUUCAUUAUUAUUAGACUACGUGAAUGUUGAUAUAAAAUGCUUGAGAGAAGGGUAUAGAAGAAACACAAAAUAAUGAGUGAUAUUAAUUUGUAGAUAAAGAUAAUAUUACAUAGUCGCAAAAAGCGACCUAGUACACAACGCACAACUCUAAAUUAGGAUAACUCCUCUGCUAUCCCUAUGGAUGGAUUUUAACAUCCAUAUUUAUUCUGUAGCUAUCGUUAUUUUGGCUUCCACUAGCUGGUGAACUUUCCAUGCCAAAACUUCACUUAACCCUGCAAAUGAAACAACAAAAAACACAACAUUAAAUGUUGAGCAAUUAAUAAGCAUAAGCAAUGAAACAACUCAUACGAACCUGCUGCAGUCAGUGCUAGGGCUGAUCUUGUAAGGGAUGUUGACACCGCACUUGCCUGGGAGUCCGCUUGCAAUACCAUAGUUGAUGCCAGGAAUGCCGGCGGCCGCACUUUUGAUGCAUUUGCAAGCUGCUUGCCGGUCUGGUGUUGUUUGGGCGGCGGAGUUGAGAGAUUUGAUGCCGCUGCAGCAACCUUGGGGAACGGCACCAGCACCAUUCCCUCUCAAGUAAUUAAUGCAGGGUGCGAGGGAGCCUGUGACUUGACCACAGGUUACGGUCCCUUGAGCCAGGGGUGCACCCACCACCAUGCACAACACCACCACACAUGCAAGCUUAAGGGACAUUGAGCUAGCCAUAUCGAUUAAUUACAAGAAAAACAAACUUGUAAGGAAAAUGCUUGCUUGGAGUAGUAGUAGUAUUGCUGAUUGUUGCGUGGUUAGGGCCCGAGGGUAGGAGGGUUUUUAUAGCCAAAAGUUUUGUGAAGGGAUAUGGAACGAACUGAGAAACACGUACGAAUAGAAUAUGGUUAGGCGUUGGUAGUUGUCCCAAUUCAAUGCCAAGGUUUCUUUUUUUCUUUUUCAUGUUUCAGCUUAUGGUUGAGUGUGUUUAAUGCUUUGAAAAAGGUUUGUAUCUACCACUUUCAUCUUCAUCACUAAUGCUGAAUUACUCCGUUGAUUAAUGCAUCAUAUUAGCCUUGUCCUAGUGUUACCGGUUUUCUGAUAUUAGUAGCUUUACCAAUAAAAGAUGCUAUCAAAUAUAGUUUUCAGGAUGAUAUUAAAAAUUAAGGUUUUUUAGUUACAAAUAAAAUUGUCACAUUAUCAAAUUUUAAAGAUAUGAAAUUAUUAUUAUAAACUCAUCUAUAGAGAAAUUAUUUUAUGAGCCCUUUCCACCACAUUAUUCACAGUCCAUUUUCAAUUAUUUAAUAAUAUUUCAACAAUAUUUUUCAUGUCAUUGACACAUAAUUUUAAUAAAUUUUUUACCCUGAACCUUGAGUCUAGAAUCCCAAACCCUAAAUAAAAAACUUAAAACCCCAAACUAUAACCCCAAACACUUGCAUCAUAAACUCGAACCGCGAACCUCAAACUCAUAAUCUGUAACCUUGAACCCAAACUUGUAAUCUCGAACCCUUGAACCCUUGAACCCUGAACCUAAACCUUGAACCCUGAACUCAAAGCCCAAAACCAAAACUGAACCCUGAACCUUAAAUCUCAAACCCAAACCUUAAACCUCGAGGUUUGGGUUCAAGGUUCAAGGUUCAGGGUUUGAGUUCAAGGUUCGAGGUUUAGGAUAAAAUAAUUACCAAAAUUUGUAACAGAAUAAAAGAGUUCGUUUAUAAUUUAAAAAGCAAUUAUUUUAAGUAAUUUAAUUAAAGUGAAAUUAAGUUAGAGAAAAUAUUAGAUAUAGAUGAGUGUAUAAUAAUACUUUAUUGUCUUUAAAAUUUAAUGACGUGGUACUAUUUUAUUGGUGCCUCAAACUAUACUUUUUAGAAUAAUCCUAAUACAAUUUAUUCCCAUAUUAAAUACGUAUGCUUUCUAUAUUUUUUCGAAAAAAUAAAUUUUAUUCAUAAACUUUCUAUAUAUAAAUAUAUGUUUUAUUUAAAAUUUAUAAAUACAGAAAAAUUAAAAUAUAAAUAUAUGUCAAAGUAGCUAUUAAGUGUAGAAUUAAACAAUUAUAACAUAUAAAUAGAUUAAAAAUUAGGACAAAAAAUCAAUCUAUUACAUAAAAUAUAAAUUAUGAAUGAAAACAAUCUAAAUUAUAGUCUGGCUAAUCAAACUAAAACUUACAUAUAACCAUAUGACUUUAAGGGUCUUGAAUAUGGUUACUUAAAAGCUUAUAGUUCAGCUUUUACCCACUACGUCAAGGCUUCAUUUACGUUUUUUUUAACCAUAUAUUUUUCAUAUAAUUAUAUAUAUAUAUUUUGCAUAAAAAAUCCCCAAGACGUUAAUUACUUCUAUAUAAUGUAGCGAUUAAGUCCUCAAACAAAAAUUGCUCAACAUCAAUGCAUGUAUAGAUCAAUUUUAUAUAUCAAAGACCAAUACUAUCUUUUUCUUAAAAAAAAAAAAAAACCAAUAUGUUGUGAUUGCUUAGCUAUUGUUCCUAAGUCUUCCUGAAAAAGGUUUCACAGCGAGAGGAGAAAAAAAAAAGUUGAACUUGUCUUGGUUUGCCCCAUAAUGAUUGAAGCAUAGACAAGAUUAUAAAUGUUAAUUUAGUAUACGACAUAAUAAUAUAAUAUAAUAUAUUUAAAUGUAUAUCUCCUCACCUCCUAGACGCUGUCAGUUAUUUUAUUUUUUGGGAUUCUUUUAACAAAAGGUUGAGCUUUUUAUUAGGUUUUAUUUGAUUUUUCAUUUAUUAAUAUAAUUUUUUUAUUUUUAUAUAUUUUAGUUAUUAUUAAUUUUUGUUGGAAAUUUGUACGGUCUUGUUCUAACAACAAUUACAACAAGCUUUUUGGAACAAUCAAAAGUUUUGGGUGUUGGCAUGUUUGACUUUUAAUGGCUUAUGUUUUAAUAUUAGUUAACAACAAAUGAUAAGAGAAUUUCAUGGUAAAUUAGAAUAUAAUUAUCAUCCAUUUGAUUAGUCUUGAAGAGGAAGGAGAGGAGUUUUAACUUUGGUGGACACCCAUCCUUAUCCUUGUCUUUUAGAGUGUUUGAAGCUAUUGGAGAACUUGGUUUUAAAGAUUUUAUUUGAUAAAUAUUCAAAAUAAUUAAUUUGAUAAUUUCAACUUUUAAAGGAGAGUUUAAAACUUAUCAAAAUAUUAUUUGAUAAACACUUGUAGAGGCGUAUAAAUAGGCAACAGUGUGGUGUAACUUUGUUUGUUGUUUUGGAGUGUCUUAAACUUUUAUUUUUUUGCUAUUCCAUUGGGUAACUUUAUGACACUCUCUUUUUAGGUAUUAUUUGGAGAUGUUUAGUAAUUGUAUUGUGAGGAAUUUGAGUGAGUGAUUGCAUUGAAGAAAUGCGACCUAAAUGUAUAUGUUAAACUCUUAUCUAGGACAUAAAUUCCAUGAACAAGGUACCCAUGUUAAUAACAUGUCACCACUUCGCAUCUUUAUGGUAUUGACCCUAUGUAGUUAGACCCUAUAUGACGUAAACAACACUUAUAGUGUGCACGAUAUCGUAGGCUUGAACGUUGAUUGAAUGCAACCUAUAUUUUGGUGCCUUUGUCGGAAAUGAUGUAUGCAUCGGGUUGCGGUACAAAUGCCUUCUCAGGUUAGUUAAGAAGAAAUCCCAUUCAUCAUUGGAUUCUUCAGGAGUUAUUACAAAAGCUAUUGGCAGGAUUUUUAGGUUACCAUCUUAUGCAACAACUACUAACAACCGAUGGUCGCAUAUUCUAUACAGGAAUGUGCCGUUAAUUUGGAAAAGUGGCUUACAGUACCAAAAUGUAGUUCUGCAUUGCUUAAAAGUCCAAAAGCAACGGUGGAAAACUCCUUUUCCAGGGACCAAGCAAUCGUCAUAAUACGCAGGCUCCAUUUUUAACUUGGUUACAGAACCUAGUAUGUACCACUCUAGUAUCUAACACCAUUGCCACAAUUUAUAGUAGGAUUUCUCCCACCCUCUAUUCAUUUUCUCCAAUGCCUUCUAUUUUUGCAACUAUGUCUUAUGCUAGGACAUGGUGUAAUCGGAUUCUCUACAGAUGUGUGCGAUCAAAAUUGGGACCAGAAUCGUAGGACUUGCUUUUGCCAUGGGUAAUAGAAUUUUAGAUAUCAUGUCUAAAUCUAAUUUUGGAUGAUCAUUCGAUAUGCUUGAAAAACAAGAAAUCAAGUCACUAUGUGUAAUAGAAUGUAAAAAAAGGCUAGGAUUCGAGUCGAUGUUGUUAGCCAUAUUACAUACCAGCUACAACACAUGUAUGUGGCACGAUAAAUUUCCUACGUUUAAAAUGCCAACUUCUUCGUCAUAAAUGCCAUGAUUUUCCAUAGACAUCUUGUUGCACGCAUUGUGCGCAUCGCCUUAUAUUUCUCGGAUUGAGAGCAUGUAAUAGUGAAGUUGACACCAAGUUGUAUGCUAUACUACUUGAUUGUAGCUACAAAAGCAUAUUUGGAGUCAAAUUCCAUCCCAACCUCUAAGUGGUCGAAAUUUGUUGAUGAAGUCGCAUACCUUAGUCUUCUACGGGGGAGGUCUGGGAAUUCUAAAACCACUUUCACUAGUAAGACUGAGAGUACGCAUAUGGGGUGGGGGUUUGUAUUUCGUGAAACUUAGGUCAUCCCCUCGAGCGAUGUCUAAAGCUUGACCAUUAGAUCCAUCGUCUUCUAGUUCAGUAGGAAUGGGAUCUAGUUCUAAAAUUACUACAAUUUCGCACCAUCCAGUCCAACCACCUCUCCUGGGUCAUUAUCUGAUUUAGACCCCUCUUUGACCACUUUGUUCUCUUGUCCCUCUUUGUUAUCAACCCUGGUUGUAAGUCCAGGGUUGGAUGUACCCUCUCUGGUCAAAGUUGUCAAGAGUAGAUCAUUCAUUCUUGUAAAUCCGAUGUCAAUCCCAAAAUCAAUUCUGUUUGGCCUACCCAGUAACUUGAUGGUGUACCAUAUGAGUGUUAUCGAGGUUGAACAUAGGUGUGUCAAAGUUGAAACCAAAGGCACUGAUAGAAUGUUGUGCGGCUGUGUUGUAGGCCUGGUGACCGAAUACGUCUAACUAUCCCCCGAAGUUGAAAUCGAGGGAUGAAAUCGAUGAAUGCCUCACCAUUGAUGAUGUUAAUAAUGUGUCUUUGUAUAAGCUUUGUAGAAAUGAUCUGAAUCCACAACAAAACCGUGUGGCCAGACUUUUUGCUUCUUGAUUUGGCUAGAAAUUUGGCGGACACGGUAUAAUCGAGCUUGGGCCACCUUUUUCCUCUUCAGCAAAGACUGUAUAUUCUCACUAGAGUAAUGAGUUUCGAUCACUGUCUUCAAACCGUUGUCCCCUGUGAUCUGAAAAAUGGAAUAUCUAACGGGGUUAAAUGAUGUUAGAUAUCUACAUUUCAGGCUCAAAAUUCUUCUUCAGAUCCCUACUUUAUGCCUAAACCUUGUUCAAAGCUCUUUUAACGUUAUGCUCUAGUUGAAUGUCAGAUCUUUAGAUUGGGUUGAUACAAAAAUGGGCUCAAUUUCAGCCUCACAAUUUUGACCGUUGUAAUGGACAAUAGCUCUGGCUCGUCUCCUCAUCUUGAACCAAAUAUUCUAUUCCACAUGUUUAAAAUCGAGAAAAUUGUAAAAAUAUAGUUCUCAUCACCCAAAUCCCUAAAUUUACACUUACUUUAAUGAAAUACCUUUGCUUCGACAAUAUUGUCAGUAUAAAAUUUUUGUUUUUUACUACAACAUCGAUAACUCCUAAUGCCAACAAUCUGCUUCAAACAUCUGUAUGGAAAAUCCAAGAAUUAUAUUGAGUUUUUUUAUAGAGCCUUUUCCUCGACGCACAUGAAACGAUUCUAGCAACAACACAUGUCAAGGCAUUAGUUGUUUUUGAGGUAUACACUAAAAAUUAAAAUUUGUGGGGGAGAAAACGUUCCCCGCAACGAUGUUUUUCAGCACCUAGACAUAGCAUUGAAAUUUAUCCUAGGAAUCCCGGGUUGUAGGGGCUUAGAGGUUGAAGCAAUCAAGUUGGCUUGGGUAUUGAAAGACCAUAAAGAAAAUGCCUAUUGCAGGAAGCAUUUCCACCUGACUUGGCAAUCAAAAUGCCUCCUGCAGGACGCGUUUUCCAGCCACAUCUCUGAUAUGUUAGUCGAAAACGCAUCUUGCAAGAGGCGUUUGUACUGCCAUGUUAGGUAAAAACACUUCCUGCAGGGAACAUUUUCUUUAUGGCCAUUUCAACACCCAGGCCAACUUAAUUGCUUCUGCCUCUGAGCCCUUACAACACGGGAUUCUCGGGAUAAAAAAAUUUCCCUUUUUACCCCACCCCAUCCCUUAUAUAAAUGCAUGUUCUCAUCCCCUACUCACCCAUAUCUCAGUCUCCUUUAAAUUAUUUUUUUCUUUUUCUUCCGUGUUGAAAUUUUCAAGUUUAAAGAUUUAUUUCUCUCACACUUUGAGGGGGAUGUAAUCAUAGUUUUAAGUUGUGUUUGAGUUCACAAUAAUGUCGUGGCGCUUGAUAACUUACAAAUUUCACUUGUCGUGUGAGUAUGGAGCCAUCACUUGAGAAAUCGAGAUCGCUUUGCAACUCGAGGUCCAAGUUGACGGUGUAAAUAAGGCUUCAAGUUUACAAAGGUUAUGCUAUUAAAAGGAUGGAGCAAAACCGGGACUGUAGUUGAUGAUGGUGAUGCAAGCACAAGAACUAGUUUUUCCUCAUUGGAAGAGCAUACUUUAUAAAAUCCAUAUACAAGUACGAGGGAGAAAAUCACAGGGGUCUUCCAGUAUAAUCAAGUAAUUCAUUUUAUCCUUUUCCAGCAAAGGCAAUGACCCUGUUACUAAAACCUAUUACAUCCCAAUUCUAUCAUAGGUAAUAGUAACGGUGUCACUGUCUUUGGUGGAGAUGGAUAAAAAAAUUUACUUAAUUAUACUGAGAUACCAUUGCAUUUUUCUUCCUCGUACUUGUGUAUGAGUUUUAUAAAGCAUCAUUUUCUAAUGAAAAAAGUUUUUUGUCGUGCCCGCAUAACCAUUGUAAAUUACAGCUCCAAUCAUACUCCGUCCUUUGAUAGCGUAACAUUUUGUAAACUUGAAGCUCUAGUUACACUUCAAUUUCAGACCGUAUAAUCACCCUUAACUGGGACCAUGAGUUGCAAUGCGAUCUGGCUUCUCGGGUGAUGGCUCCAUACUCACAUGACAAAUGAAAUUUGUAGGUCACCUAACUCCACGACACCACCAUAAAUUCAAACAUUCCUUAAAACUAUAACAGUGUCUAUCUCAAACAAGAAUGAAAAUAAAUGUUCAAACUUCUAAUUUCAAAUUGCAAGAAAAAAAAAAGAAAAAAAUAAAUUUUAGCAAAGUAAAAAUGGGUCCUACCGGCACAUUUUCAUUGCCACAUCAAUGAAAAUACACCUCGUACGACACGUUAUUCUUUCUUCGUAAACAAUGUAAAUCAAUAAAUUUAAAAAAAAAUUAUACAUUCUCAAAUAACUCUUUUUUUCAGCAUUUUUGUUAAAUUUAUCCCAUAAUACUGCUACUUCUUGUUUCCUGGGUUAUUUUUAUUACUGCUGGUUGUACCACCCUCCUACUGUGCGCCGGUUAUAGCAACUCACUCAAGAUUCUAAAUACUAAUAUAAACACCAUUUCUUUUAUUCUUAGUUUUUUUAGUGAUUAACGUGGUUUUAAUUAUCGUUAGAUCACGUGGGUGUUUAUAUGAAAUGCUUGAAAUCGUCACGCAGGACAAAAAAAAAAAAGAAAAAGAAAAGGAAAUGAAGAGUAUAUAUAUAGAGGAAACAACUAGUGAGAGUGAUAUUAAUAUUUAGAGUAGGUAAAGAUAGUAUUAUAUAGUCGCAUAUGCGACCUUGUACAUUACCACUAACUCUAAAACUAGGAUAACUCCAACAAUGAAUAGUACCGCUAUGGAUUUUUAACAUUCAUUUUUAUUCUGUCGACAUCACUAUUUCCCUUCCAUUAGCUGAUCCCAACUUCCAUGACCACACUUCACUUAAUGCUGCAAAUGCAACCACACCAAACAAAACAUUCAUAAAUUAAUAAAUCAAUUGCCAUAAGCGAUAAACUUUGGGUCAUUUUCUUUUUCCGUAAUUUCAAAGAAACCUAGUUUAAAUUAGAUACGAACCUUUUGCAGUCAGUGGAAGGGCUGAUCUUGUAAGGGAUGUUGAUACCGCACUUGCCUGGGAGUCCGGCUGCAGUGCUAUAGUUGAUGCCAGAAAUGCCGGUGGCCGCACUUUUGAUGCAGCUGCAAGCUGCUUGCCGGUCUGGUGUUGUUUUGGCGGCAGAGUUGAGAGAUCUGAUGCCGUUGCAGCAAGCUGGGGGAGCAGAACCAGCACCAUUCCCUUUCAAGUAAGCAAUGCAGGGUGCGAGGGCGCUUGUGAUUUGACCACAACUUAUGGCCCCUUGAGCCAGGGGUGCACCCACCACCAUGCAAAACACCACCACACAUGUAAGCUUAAGGGACAUUGAGCUAGCCAUAUCAAUUAGUCACAAGAAAACAAACUUGUAAGGAAAAUGCUCGCUUGGAGUAG